RNAcentral lists this ribosomal RNA (477 nucleotides) under uncultured anaerobic ammonium-oxidizing bacterium. RNAcentral describes it as "bacterial SSU rRNA". It matches the Rfam family "Bacterial small subunit ribosomal RNA", at positions 365 to 832 of the family's 1533-position model. The record is from RNAcentral.
UUCGCAAUGCCCGAAAGGGUGACGAAGCGACGCCGCGUGAGCGAAGAAGGCCCUAGGGUUGUAAAGCUCUGUCGGGGGUUAUGAAGUGUAGGCUGGCUAAUACCCAGUUUAUUUGACAAAGGCCCCAAAGGAAGCCACGGCUAACUCUGUGCCAGCAGCCGCGGUAAUACAGAGGUGGCAAGCGUUGUUCGGUAUUAUUGGGCGUAAAGAGCACGUAGGUGGUUUUGUAAGUCAGAUGUGAAAGCCUUCUGUUCAAAGGAAGAACGGCAUCUGAAACUGCAGAUCUUGAGUGUAGGAGGGGAGAGUGGAACUUCUGGUGGAGCGGUGAAAUGCGUAGAUACCAGAAGGAACGUCGGCGGCGAAAGCGACUCUCUGGCCUAUUACUGACACUGAGUGUGCGAAAGUUAGGGGAGCAAACGGGAUUAGAUACCCCGGUAGUCCUAACUGUAAACGAUGGGCACUAAGUAGAGGGGUUUU